GGAGUUGUAACUCAGUGGUAGAGUGGAGGAUUGCAGAUCCUCUGGUCACGUGUUCGAACCACGUCAGCUCCU
Molecule: non-coding RNA, 72 nt
Organism: Zychaea mexicana
Lineage: Eukaryota; Fungi; Mucoromycota; Mucoromycetes; Mucorales; Lichtheimiaceae
Source: the annotation of a RefSeq genome assembly